CAGUAGCCGCGGGAAUACGAAGGGGGCUAGCGUUGCUCGGAAUUACUGGGCGUAAAGGGAGCGUAGGCGGACAUUUAAGUCAGGGGUGAAAUCCCGGGGCUCAACCUCGGAAUUGCCUUUGAUACUGGGUGUCUUGAGUAUGAGAGAGGUAUGUGGAACUCCGAGUGUAGAGGUGAAAUUCGUAGAUAUUCGGAAGAACACCAGUGGCGAAGGCGACAUACUGGCUCAUUACUGACGCUGAGGCUCGAAAGCGUGGGGAGCAAACAGGAUUAGAUACCCCUGUAGUCCCUGUCUCUUAUAU
RNAcentral lists this ribosomal RNA (301 nucleotides) under uncultured bacterium. RNAcentral's name for it is "partial 16S ribosomal RNA". It matches the Rfam family "Bacterial small subunit ribosomal RNA", at positions 509 to 809 of the family's 1533-position model. The record is from RNAcentral.